RNAcentral lists this ribosomal RNA (465 nucleotides) under Vreelandella stevensii. Its description in RNAcentral is "partial 16S ribosomal RNA". It matches the Rfam family "Bacterial small subunit ribosomal RNA", at positions 338 to 795 of the family's 1533-position model. The record is from RNAcentral. Lineage: Bacteria; Pseudomonadati; Pseudomonadota; Gammaproteobacteria; Oceanospirillales; Halomonadaceae.
CCUACGGGGGGCUGCAGUGGGGAAUAUUGGACAAUGGGCGAAAGCCUGAUCCAGCCAUGCCGCGUGUGUGAAGAAGGCCUUCGGGUUGUAAAGCACUUUCAGUGGGGAAGAAAGCCUUGGGGCUAAUACCCUCGAGGAAGGACAUCACCCACAGAAGAAGCACCGGCUAACUCCGUGCCAGCAGCCGCGGUAAUACGGAGGGUGCGAGCGUUAAUCGGAAUUACUGGGCGUAAAGCGCGCGUAGGCGGUCUGAUAAGCCGGUUGUGAAAGCCCCGGGCUCAACCUGGGAACGGCAUCCGGAACGGUCAGGCUAGAGUGCAGGAGAGGAAGGUAGAAUUCCCGGUGUAGCGGUGAAAUGCGUAGAGAUCGGGAGGAAUACCAGUGGCGAAGGCGGCCUUCUGGACUGACACUGACGCUGAGGUGCGAAAGCGUGGGUAGCAAACAGGAUUAGAUACCCUUGUAGUC